CGAGCCGAGAUGGUGCGUAAGCAUGCGGAGUGACGACUGUGGACUCCCUAAUCACGUCGGUCAGAAAUUUAAUUGGCGAAAACAAGUACGCUCUCGCUGCCUAAACGAAGUACAGUAGUUUACUGGCUUAAUUCCCUUACAAGGUAGGGGAACGAGACAUCGCUCCAAGGAUGUUGUUCCGAAUCCGAGGGUCAAGCGGUGCAGGAAAAUCGGGAAUAGUCCGUCGGGCGCUCCGACUGGUGGAUGAAGAUUUAGGAGCUAAGGUCGCAGUUGGUGGUCCAGGUCUUGCUGCAACACGAAAACGAAGGCUGGAAUAAGCAUGUAGAAAGCGUAUGGUUUCCUCGUGUGGACGAGGGUUCGAUUCCCUCCACUUCCACCA
This 379-nucleotide transfer-messenger RNA is filed under the name Prevotella sp. RNAcentral describes it as "partial transfer-messenger RNA". It matches the Rfam family "transfer-messenger RNA". From Rfam's summary of the family: Bacterial tmRNA, also known as 10Sa RNA or SsrA, is named for its dual tRNA and mRNA-like properties. Its role is to liberate the mRNA from a stalled ribosome. The record is from RNAcentral. Lineage: Bacteria; Pseudomonadati; Bacteroidota; Bacteroidia; Bacteroidales; Prevotellaceae.